RNAcentral lists this ribosomal RNA (429 nucleotides) under Acidobacteriota bacterium. Its description in RNAcentral is "Acidobacteria bacterium partial 16S ribosomal RNA". It matches the Rfam family "Bacterial small subunit ribosomal RNA", at positions 355 to 776 of the family's 1533-position model. The record is from RNAcentral. Lineage: Bacteria; Pseudomonadati; Acidobacteriota.
UGGGGAAUUUUGGACAAUGGGGGAAACCCUGAUCCAGCCAUCCCGCGUGUGCGAUGAAGGCCUUCGGGUUGUAAAGCACUUUUGGCAGGAAAGUAACGUCAUGGGUUAAUACCCCGUGAAACUGACGGUACCUGCAGAAUAAGCACCGGCUAACUACGUGCCAGCAGCCGCGGUAAUACGUAGGGUGCAAGCGUUAAUCGGAAUUACUGGGCGUAAAGCGUGCGCAGGCGGUUCGGAAAGAAAGAUGUGAAAUCCCAGAGCUCAACUUUGGAACUGCAUUUUUAACUACCGGGCUAGAGUGUGUCAGAGGGAGGUGGAAUUCCGCGUGUAGCAGUGAAAUGCGUAGAUAUGCGGAGGAACACCGAUGGCGAAGGCAGCCUCCUGGGAUAACACUGACGCUCAUGCACGAAAGCGUGGGGAGCAAACAGG